This 135-nucleotide small nucleolar RNA is filed under the name Neotoma lepida (desert woodrat). RNAcentral's name for it is "Small nucleolar RNA SNORA70". It matches the Rfam family "Small nucleolar RNA SNORA70". Rfam says of the family: snoRNA U70 seems to be exclusive to mammals and is a member of the H/ACA class of snoRNA which contain H (ANANNA) and ACA box motifs. H/ACA box snoRNAs are involved in the conversion of uridines to pseudouridines (5-ribosyluracil) a constituent of structural RNAs (transfer, ribosomal, small nuclear, and small nucleolar). Lineage: Eukaryota; Metazoa; Chordata; Mammalia; Rodentia; Cricetidae. The record is from Rfam by way of RNAcentral.
CUGCAGUCAGUUAAGCCAAUCAAGUCUCUUUCCUCACAGGAGCCUGGUGUGCAGUGGACACCGACAGCAGCCUCCUUAGGAGUGUACGCAGCCUGUUGCCUAUAUGGAUGGCUGUAAGGGACCUUGGAGACAUUU